This 468-nucleotide ribosomal RNA is filed under the name uncultured bacterium. RNAcentral's name for it is "partial 16S ribosomal RNA". It matches the Rfam family "Bacterial small subunit ribosomal RNA", at positions 28 to 507 of the family's 1533-position model. The record is from RNAcentral.
GACGAACGCUGGCGGCGUGCUUAACACAUGCAAGUCGAACGGAAAGGCCCUGCUUUUGUGGGGUGCUCGAGUGGCGAACGGGUGAGUAACACGUGAGUAACCUGCCCUUGACUUUGGGAUAACUUCAGGAAACUGGGGCUAAUACCGGAUAGGAGCUCCUGCUGCAUGGUGGGGGUUGGAAAGUUUCGGCGGUUGGGGAUGGACUCGCGGCUUAUCAGCUUGUUGGUGGGGUAGUGGCUUACCAAGGCUUUGACGGGUAGCCGGCCUGAGAGGGUGACCGGCCACAUUGGGACUGAGAUACGGCCCAGACUCCUACGGGAGGCAGCAGGGGGGAAUAUUGCACAACGGGCGGAAGCCAGAUGCAGAAACGCCGCGUGCGGGAUGACGGGUUUCGGGUUGUAAACCGCUGUCGACGGUGACGAAGCGUGAGUGACGGUAAUGGGUAAAGAAGCACCGGCUAACUACGUG